AGUGAACGCUGGCGGUAGGCCUAGCACAUGCAAGUCGAACGGCAGCACAGGAGAGCUUGCUCUCCGGGUGGCGAGUGGCGGACGGGUGAGGAAUACAUCGGAAUCUACUCUGUCGUGGGGGAUAACGUAGGGAAACUUACGCUAAUACCGCAUACGACCUACGGGUGAAAGCAGGGGACCUUCGGGCCUUGCGCGAUUGAAUGAGCCGAUGUCGGAUUAGCUAGUUGGCGGGGUAAAGGCCCACCAAGGCGACGAUCCGUAGCUGGUCUGAGAGGAUGAUCAACCACACUGGAACUGAGACACGGUCCAGACUCCUACGGGAGGCAGCAGUGGGGAAUAUUGGACAAUGGGCGCAAGCCUGAUCCAGCCAUACCGCGUGGGUGAAGAAGGCCUUCGGGUUGUAAAGCCCUUUUGUUGGGAAAGAAAUCCAGCUGGCUAAUACCCGGUUGGGAUGACGGUACCCAAAGAAUAAGCACCGGCUAACUUCGUGCCAGCCGCCGCGGAAA
Molecule: ribosomal RNA, 506 nt
Filed under: uncultured bacterium
Lineage: Bacteria
Description: partial 16S ribosomal RNA
Rfam family: Bacterial small subunit ribosomal RNA
Source: RNAcentral